CACUAUGAACAUGAUCAUUCCUAAAGAAUGGUCUUUUGAUAAGGAUCUCCAAAUCCAGGGACUCCCUCAAACCCAAAAAAUGAAAAAUGACGGGGACAGAAUGAUCGGCGAGUACCCUUCUUCUAUUUGACUGGCCAACAUUCCUAUUGUGAAACAAGAUUUUGGCUAGAAAAUAUGCAAGUGUUGGCUCGUCUAGACGUGGAGAGGGUAACCUUCAGUAAAUCUGGGUAUACUUUUACUUAUAUAUAUCCUUUCACCCUCAGGCUCGGGCACGAAAUUCAUCCAGUCAUCCUUGACUUUUGCUGGAGUUACCAAGUCUGCUUAGCUUAAGUAGGUCCGGUAGUAUGACGUAUGGCAGCUUGCCUACAGUAUCUAACCUCUUGGGCACAAAAAAAGUCUCUCCCUUGCACACCUAAUCCAUCUACUCUCCCAAGAUCAUCCGAGGAGGCAUGAUCAAACUCAUCAGGCGUGGUCAUAAUGCCAUUAUCACCAGUUUGGGUUAUGACAAUGACCGUGAUUGGAUGGAAAAGUUUGUUGCCUUCACUUCCAAGGACAUCAUACCCUCGUCAGGACCUUCAAUUCUCGAUACAUGGAACUAUACUCGUUCGUUCUCUUAUAUGCAUGUUUUUUUGGCCUUCCAAGGGAUCAUCUGUUUGCUCGGUCGUCGAGAUUUCAUUUGACCCAAAGGUGACUCAACAACAACUUAAAAAGUCAUUGACCAAAAAGGGGCUCGUGAAGCGGAAUCUUCUUCCUGUGGAGCUGUAUCAUCCGCCAGUCCCCGACCUCAAGAGAAGAGGGCUAGAAGAAAGCUCUCUUCCAAAGUUAGGGAAAAAACAUAGCCUCCUGUCUCGGAGGCGAUCCCUGCAGGGCUGAAUACAGUGGUCCUUAACGAAAAAGAAACCGAAGAUGAUGUUGAAGCAGCGUCUCUUCAAAGAAAAAGAAAAAAAGAACCCAAACAGUCCAUCCAGAGGAGACAGAGAGACUAUUUCAAGAUUUUGAUAUAGCUGAAAUUGUCAACUCUACCUUUGGGGUUCCCGUUGCUAGUAGCGGUCAAAGAAAUGAUACUUCAAGUGUUGUCCCAACCUCUUCUCUAACAACAUUCACUUGUAGAUCGAGGCAAGGCCAAUAUUCUUACUUUUGAGGGUCUCCCAAAGGAUGUUUUUGGAGAAGCAAGAAUUUCAAUAUGAGCGUGAUCGACUUGCUGAGCUUAGAGGGCAAAUUUUCCCAAAUGGAAGAGCUUGAGGUCUUGUUGGAGCAAAUGGAGAAACAAAAAAAUAGCUCACAGCCAAGAAGUCACACAACUUCAUGAUGAACUUGCCAAGCUGAAGGGAAAGUGGACGGAGCUACAAGAUGCUCUUACUUCGGCUGCUGAAUGGGAGUCAGCUUCCAUGGAAAAGAUCUGGGCCUUGGAAACAGACUUGCAUUCUAAGACCGAGGAAUCUACCGCAGCCAAAGGAAAAAAGGGCCAAAAUAGAGAAAAGGCUCUAAAAGGUCAUGGAACAAAAUUGGGAGCAUGCAAAGACUAAUACUGACCUGGCGGAGACCUAUAGGAUUUUGAAGGUCGAAAAUGAGUGACAUAAUAAGCAAUCCAGAGCUCCGAGCAAGAUUCUGAGCUCAAGAGGAGUCCUUUGUGCUUGAAGACUCAUGUUGUCUAUAGAAUGUGAAGAAAAUCUUUGGAGGACGUCAAAAUCGGCAUUGAGAACAUAGAGAACUGCAUUACCGAGGCUCGUACCCUAGAAAUAAUCUCCUUCGAUAAUAUGCCUGCCCGGCCUUCUAUUUUAAGUUCCACAUGAACCAGCUCUGAAUCUUAUGAACUUGAAGAUGAAGAUGAAGAUGAAGGUGUAGAGCUUGAGCAUGAUGAUGAAGGAAUACAUGAGCAAGCCUUAGAUCCAUCAACUCCAGACAAAGACUCAAGACCUUUUGCUCCGAAAAGUGUGAUUCCAGAAAAUGCUCCAACCUUUGAGGCCUCCAAGACCUCGGCUUCUUAUAAUCUAGCAGAUUAAUUUACCUUAUAAAGAUAUUUUGGUUUUUUGUUUUUUCCGAACUCUUGUACCCUCUCUGGGCUCUA
Nicotiana tabacum (common tobacco) is the source of this 2068-nucleotide non-coding RNA. The record is from RefSeq and is a predicted model, not a curated record. NCBI's taxonomy places the organism in Eukaryota, Viridiplantae, Streptophyta, Magnoliopsida, Solanales, Solanaceae.